AUGUUCUUUAAAUCGCCCCUUCACCAGAAUUACUCUACUCUUCGUCACCCUCUUUCAUCUUCAAUAAAUUGGAUAUCACAACCUCGAUGCUUCAAUCAUUAUCAAUCCUACAUCGCGUUUCUCACUGCAAAAACAAAUGUAAAGUAUCAAUUCCUCACAUCAGUCCAGAUUCAACCAUCAUUACCAAGUUUUCAACAUUAUAACUUUGUUCAAAAUUGCAAGAACGGAAGAAGAAUGGAAUGGAGGACGUACCUGAUUUGUAACUGGAUUUCUGGUCAUUACAACACUGUCAAAAGCAUAUCAAAUGGGUCCCGGUUGAUCUUUAGUGAAUGCUCCCUUUAG
This is a non-coding RNA of Vicia faba (fava bean), 342 nucleotides long. Lineage: Eukaryota; Viridiplantae; Streptophyta; Magnoliopsida; Fabales; Fabaceae. The record is from the annotation of a GenBank genome assembly.